Molecule: long non-coding RNA, 1674 nt
Filed under: Oncorhynchus kisutch (coho salmon)
Lineage: Eukaryota; Metazoa; Chordata; Actinopteri; Salmoniformes; Salmonidae
Description: lncRNA (ENSOKIG00005016686.1)
Source: RNAcentral
GGGAGAGACCACCAGCUAUAGAACCCACAAACUCUUCAGACCAUUCCAGUAAUGGCACCCCCCCCCCCCCCCCCCACACACACACACACACACCUGUGCCUAUAAACUGGACCUCUAAGCAGGGGAAGCAGGUGUGUCAUGAGGAUUGAGAGAGACUGCUACCACAGUGCCUUUUACAACUGCAGUGCACCCUGGGAUACAUGGAGGGCCUGGAAGACGUUCCCGGUAUAGACUGAGGGAGGGACAGACCUAGAACACAGACGGUUACCGGAGCAGCCUGACAGUACAGACUGUGUCUCUCUGAGAGGCCUGGAGAACCUGUGACAGGUGGGAGAUAAUGGAAUGAUCUUCACUGGCAAUCCAGCCUUCAGUGUCCCCAUAUGUCCCAUAAUAACUCUAUCCCUUCCUCUAACCAUGUCGAUCUCCCUGUUUUUAACUUUCCCCCACAUCUACACCUCUCUGAGACUCCCCCAUCUAUAAAGUGUUCACCCCACUCCCCAGUGUUCUCCUUCCGUUUUCUAGACUUGUGUAAUUAUUUAUUUCUCCAGCAGAGGGCGCAGCAUAUGAAAGUAAGGGGGACAACCAUGACCAUUAUUCAACAUUAAGUUGGUUCCACUAGUCAAGAGGGAGCCAUAGAGACAUGUCCAAGUUGAUUCAUGUAGUGACGUCAUUACUCCCAACUCUAGGCCAAACCUGUAUACACACACACACACACACACACACACACACACACACACAGGCCCUCAUAACUGUUUUUGGGCAAGGAAAGAAGUGCUCACUCUGUUUACCAUUUGUCUAAGACUGUGGUGUCCUUCCUGUCUGCUACUCUGUAUACUUUAAUAAACGUUUCAGUCAGAACUAGUUCAGUGAUGACAUGUGGAGGAGUCCGUAAGGAGAGCAUCAUUAAACACCUGACCGUGUGGUUAACCAGCCUGAUCUCCUGAGCUCACAUUCUGUUUCAAUUCAGUAAAGACAGGGAUUAUCAGAGUUUGUGAGUGUGUGUGUAGGUAUGUGUGUGUGGCACCGGGCAGACAUAGUUGUGGUGUUGCAGCAGGUGCUGAUGGUUCUGCUCUUUACAGACGCGGUCAACAAGUAUUCCUGAGGCCAGACGAGACCGCAGCUCUAACCCUGACUGACCGACUACAGGUAAGAUAUACACUGUUUCUCUCUCGCUCUCUUGCUUUCUCUCUCUCUCUCUCUCUCUCUCUUGCUCUCUCUCUUGCUCUCUCUCUCUCUUGCUCUCUCUCUCUCUUGCUUUCUCUCGCUCUCUCUUGCUCUCUCUCUCGCUCUCUCUCUCUCUUGCUCUCUCUCUCUCUCUCUCUUGCUCUCUCUCUCUCUCGCUUUCUCUCUCUCUCUCUCUUGCUCUCUCUCUCUCUUGCUUUCUCUCUCUCUCUCUCUCUCUCUCUUGCUCUCUCUCUCUCUCUUGCUCUCUCUCUCUCUCGCUUUCUCUCUCUCUCUCUCACUUUCUCUCUCUCUCUCUCGCUCUCGCUCUCGCUCUCUCUCCCUCUCUCUCGCUCUGUUGCUCUCUCGCUCGCUCUCUCGCUCUCUCUCUCUCUCUCUCUCUCUCUCUCGCUCUGUUGCUCUCUCUCGCUCUCUCGCUCUCUCUAUCUCUACACACAAUGUGUAAAUGAGAUGUUUGCUGUUUAUCUGUGGGCCAGCCUGAUGUGUUGCCAU